ACCCCGAGUGCGAGGGCAUACAGUCCUCGCUUUUGUGUACCGUAGGGAGGUACACGAAUAAGGGCUGGGCAAGACCGGUGCCAGCCGCCGCGGUAAUACCGGCAGCUCAAGUGAUGGCCGCUGUUAUUGGGCCUAAAGCGUCCGUAGCCGGCCGCACAAGUCCGUCGGGAAAUCCACCCGCCUAACGGGUGGGCGUCCGGCGGAAACUGAGCGGCUUGGGACCGGAAGACUCGAGGGGUACGUCCGGGGUAGGAGUGAAAUCCUGUAAUCCUGGACGGACCGCCGGUGGCGAAAGCGCCUCGAGAGGACGGAUCCGACGGUGAGGGACGAAAGCUAGGGUCUCGAACCGGAUUAGAUACCCGGGUAGUCCUAGCCGUAAACGAUGCUCGCUAGGUGUGGCGCAGGCUACGAGCCUGCGCUGUGCCGUAGGGAAGCCGUGAAGCGAGCCGCCUGGGAAGUACGUCCGCAAGGAUGAAACUUAAAGGAAUUGGCGGGGGAGCACUACAACCGGAGGAGCCUGCGGUUUAAUUGGACUCAACGCCGGACAUCUCACCAGCACCGACAGUAGUCGUGACAGUCAGGUUGAUGAUCUUACUCGAGCUACUGAGAGGAGGUGCAUGGCCGCCGUCAGCUCGUACCGUGAGGCGUCCUGUUAAGUCAGGCAACGAGCGAGACCCGCACCCCUAGUUGCCAGCAGCACGUACAUCGUGGCUGGGUACACUAGGGGGACUGCCGCCGCCAAGGCGGAGGAAGGAACGGGCAACGGUAGGUCAGUAUGCCCCGAAUGUGCUGGGCUACACGCGGGCUACAAUGGCCGGGACAGUGGGAUGCGACCCCGAGAGGGGGAGCUAAUCUCCUAAACCCGGUCGUAGUUCGGAUUGAGGGCUGAAACUCGCCCUCAUGAAGCUGGAUUCGGUAGUAA
Molecule: ribosomal RNA, 922 nt
Filed under: uncultured Halobacteria archaeon
Lineage: Archaea; Methanobacteriati; Methanobacteriota; Halobacteria
Description: bacterial SSU rRNA
Rfam family: Archaeal small subunit ribosomal RNA
Source: RNAcentral